This 835-nucleotide ribosomal RNA is filed under the name uncultured bacterium. Its description in RNAcentral is "bacterial SSU rRNA". It matches the Rfam family "Bacterial small subunit ribosomal RNA", at positions 28 to 896 of the family's 1533-position model. The record is from RNAcentral.
GGUGAACGCUAGCGGUGCGCCUAACACAUGCAAGUCGAGCGGUAGAAUCUUUUAGCUUGCUAAAAGAUUUGAGAGCGGCGAACGGGUGAGUAACACGUUGGAAUCUGCCCCCAAGUCAGGGAUAGCCAUUGGAAACGGUGAUUAAUACCGGAUGUGCUCUUCGGAGUAAAGAUUUAUCGCUUGGGGAGGAUCCUGCGUACUAUCAGCUUGUUGGUAAGGUAACGGCUUACCAAGGCUAUGACGGUUAACUGGUCUGAGAGGAUGAUCAGUCACAAUGAAACUGAGACACGGUUCAUACUCCUACGGGAGGCAGCAGUGAGGAAUCUUCCACAAUGGACGAAAGUCUGAUGGAGCGACACCGCGUGAAGGAUGAAGGUCUAACGAUUGUAAACUUCUUUUCUGAGGGAGCAAAAUGAGAGUACCUCAGGAAUAAGGGACGGCUAAUUACGUGCCAGCAGCCGCGGUAAUACGUAAGUCCCAAGCGUUACCCGGAAUUAUUGGGUGUAAAGGGUCCGUAGGUGGGAUUACAAGUCAGGUAUGAAAGACCGGAGCUCAACUCCGAGUUUGUGCUUGAAACUGUAGUUCUAGAAUCAGGGAGAGGUUAGCGGAAUUCUUAGUGUAGGGGUGCAAUCCGUAGAUACUAAGAAGAACACCAAAAGCGAAGGCAGCUAACUGGAACUCGAUUGACACUGAGGGACGAAAGCGUGGGGAGCAAAGAGGAUUAGAUACCCUCGUAGUCCACGCCCUAAACGAUGGUAACUAAGUGUUGCGCAUUGGCGCAGUGCUGAAGCUAACGCGAUAAGUUAUCCACCUGAGGAGUACGGUCGCAAGAUUA